UGAUGGGAGAAUAAGGCUAAUGGUGGAUGCCUAGGCAGUUUGAGCCGAAGAAGGACGCGUGUUAAAGCGCGAAAACAACGGUGAGCCCUUAAACAGGCGUUAUCAACUGUUGGUUUCCGAAUGGAGCAAUCCUCUUCGAUGUAAAUCGAGGAACCCUUACCACUUGUGGUAAGGGAGGGAACCUGGUGAACCGAAACAUCCAAGUAACCAGAGGAAGAGAAAUCAUAUGAGAUUUCGUUAGUAGCGGCGAGCGAAAACGAAAGAGCCUAAACCCCGAUUUAUCGGGGUGUUGCGGGUCCACAGUAGGUAGAAAUUCUUGCAAAAAAAUACUCUGGAAAGAGUAACCAAAGAAGGUGAUAGUCCUGUAUUUUAAAGAAGAAUUUCGCUGGUGGAGUUCCCAAGUACCACGAGGCACGGCAAACCUUGUGGGAAACCGGGUCGGUCACGAUCCAAGGCUAAAUACUCAAAUUGACCGAUAGUGAACUAGUACCAUGAGGGAAAGGUGAAAAGUCCCCCAGUGAGGGGAGUGAAAUAGAACCUGAAACCAUUAGCUAACAAACAGACAGAGCUUGUGCGUAGUACAAGAGAUUGUUAGCUUUUAGACUAUUAGCUAUUAGAUUUCAAAAUCUAAAAAACUAAAAGCUAAAAAGCUAAUAGCUCUCGUGCUGCGCGCGAGUGAUGUCGUGCCUAUUGAAGAAUGAGCCAGCGAGUUUUCGAUAACUGCGUGAUUAACCCCGCUUAGCGGGGGAAGUCAGAGGGAAACCGAGUCCUAAUAGGGCGAAUUUGUAGUUAUCGGAAGACCCGAAACUGGGUGAGCUAACCAUGAGCAGGGUGAACCCCGCCGAAAGGCGGGGGAAGGCCCGGACCCGUUGUCGGUGAAAUGACAUGGGAGGACUUGUGGUUAGGGGUAAUAUGCCAAUCGAACUCAGAUAUAGCUGGUUCUCCCCGAAAUAUAUUUAGGUAUAGCCUCAACAAUUACUUUGCGGGGUAGAGCGACUAGAUGGUUGUGAGAGCGUAAGCGAUCGCGACCAACUAAACUCCGAAUACGCAAAAAAUUUGUUGGGAGUCAGUCUUAUCGGGAUAAGCCGAUACAGGCGAAAGGGAAACAUCCCAGAUUCCCGUCUAAGGUUCCUAAAUGACUUUUAAGUGGAAAAGGCCGUUGGAUUUCCAACACAGUAGGGAGGUUGGCUCAGAAGCAGCCAUCCUUUAAAGAGUGCGUAACAGCUCACCUAAAUACCCCUGCCUUUGGCGGGGGAAAUUCAGCGCCUAAAAUGAACGGAGCUAAAAAGUCUACCGAAGACGGAGACUUGUCCCGCUUUUUGCGGGACAAUUGGUAGGGGAGCUUCCUGAUAACAGCGAAGCAUAGUUGUAAGACUAGGUGGAGUUAUCAGGAGUGAGAAUGCUGGCAUAAGUAGUGAAACCUCCGAUGAAAACUCGGAGUGCCGAAUACCCAAGGUUUCCUCAGCAACGUCAAUCAGCUGAGGGUGAGUCGGAUCUAAGGAGGUACCUUUUGGUGCCCCCGAUGUACAAGCAGUUAAUAUUCUGCUACAGAAAAUAGAACGUUAACACUUGCAGAAAGACAGAAUUUGAAUACCCAAGCCCUCUAUAUGGGGGUUUAAGUAUUAAAGUUUACCGCAAGGUAAAUUGAGAUACGAAUACAAUUCUGGCGUAACGCCAGUUGAGUUGGGUCACUUUACGUUCUCAGGAAAAUUUCUGUCAAGGAGUUUUGUUUUUUUCCGUACCAAUAACCAACACAGGUGGGUUGGUGGAGAACACCAAGGCAUACGGACAAGAGUGAUUCAAGGAACUCGGCAAAAAAACUGAGCGUAAGCUUUGCAAGAUGCUCUGAGGGUGCCAUACGGUACCCUCUACAAUAAAAGUUUGUCAACCGACUGUUUAGCAAAAACACAGGCUCCUGCAAACCUGCAAAGGAAAGUAUAGGAGCUGAGACCUGUCCGGUACUGGUAAGUUAAUCACUUUGGGUGAAACUAAGCAAUUAGACAGCCUGAGGUGCAAGCUCCAGUGAACGACAGCUCUAACCCUGAGAGUUCUAAGGUAGCGUAGCCCCUUGCCGGGUAAGUUCCGGCCCGCAUGAAAGGUGUAACGAGUUGACAACUGUCUUGAAUUACCGUCCGACGAAUUUGAAAUGGCUGUGAAGAUGCGGCCUACCUACACCUGGACAAAAAGACCCCGAGAGCUUUACUGUAGUUAGAUAUUGGUGAAAGGAGAUAAACUGUUGAGCGUAGGAGGGACCUUGCCGCAAGGCGAGGGCCAAUGAAACACCUCUCUUUUAGCUUUUUUCUCCUCAUCCAGCGCAAGCGGGAAACAGUAUUUGACGGGCAGUUUAACUGGGGCGGUUUCCUCCAAAAAAGUAACGGAGGAGCGCAAUGGUCAGCUAAUUCCGGAUGGAAAUCGGAAUGUUCGUGCAAACGCAUAAGCUGGCUUAACUGUGAGGGUGACUAUCCGAGCAGAUGCGAAAGCAGGCGUUAGUGAUCCUCGAUCCCGCCGUGAUUGCGGGACGAGCUUAACGGAUAAAAGUUACCUCGGGGAUAACAGGCUGGUCGCGCCCGAGAGUUCAUAUCGACGGCGCGGUUCGGCACCUUAAAUGACAUUGGGGUGCGAUAGAAGUAAUUCUAUAGCUUUGUAAUCUAAAACAAUUUAGGUCUUUUUGCAAAAUAUCAGCUCAUAACGGUGAACUCCUUACUGUAAAGUAAGGACAAUACCGUGGGAAUCCCGACUUAGUCGGGACCCGUAACGACUUAUCUUGAUGCGAAAUCAAGGUAGACUCUUUGGCCUUAUGGCAAAGAGUAAUAAGGCUGACCCCCGCUUAGCGGGGUGAUGGUAUAGUCUGAUACUUCAAGUAAUUGAAGAAAACACGCGAUGUCGGCUCACUGCAUCCUGGGGCUGAAGUCGGUCCCAAUGGUCGGGCUGUUCGCCCGUUAAAGCGGUACGCGAGCUGGGUUCAGAACGUCGU
Candidatus Roizmanbacteria bacterium is the source of this 2974-nucleotide non-coding RNA. The record is from Rfam. NCBI's taxonomy places the organism in Bacteria, Candidatus Roizmaniibacteriota.